RNAcentral lists this long non-coding RNA (2869 nucleotides) under Taeniopygia guttata (zebra finch). RNAcentral describes it as "lncRNA (ENSTGUG00000029112.1)". The record is from RNAcentral. Lineage: Eukaryota; Metazoa; Chordata; Aves; Passeriformes; Estrildidae.
CAGAAUCAUUGAGGCUGGAAAUUACCUCUGAGAUCAAGUUCAACCUUUGACUGGUCACCACCUUGUCAACUAGACCACAGCAUUAAGGGAGACAUUCAGUCAUUUCUUGAACACCUCCUAGGAUGGUGACUCCAUCACCUCCCUGGGCAGCCCAUUCCAAUGCUUAACCACCAUUUCUGUGAGGAAAUUUCUUCUGAUGUCCAGUCUGAAUCUCCACUGGCACAGCUUGAGGCUAUGCCCUCUUGUCCUACCACAAUUACCUGGGAGAAGAGACCACCCCAAUCUAGCUAGAACCUCCUUUCAGGAAGGGAGCAAUAAGGUUCCCCUGGAGCCUCCUUUUCUCCGGGCUAAACCACCCCAGCUCCCUCUGCUGCUCCUCACAGGCCUUGUGCUUCUGACCUUCAGCAGUUCUGUUUCCCUUCUCGGGACUCGCUCCAGCACCUCAAUGUCCUUCUUGUAGUAAGGGGCCCAGAACUGGACACAGGAUUUGAGGUGCUGAGUACAAGGUGACAAUCACUUACUCCUCUGGUCUUGCUGGUCAGACUAAUUUCCAUACAAGCCAGGAAGCCACUGUCCUUCUUGGCCACCUGUGCACACUGCUGUUUCAUGUUUAGCCAGCUGUCAAACAGCACCCACACUAUGCAAUAACAUAACAUAGAUCACCACGAUGAAGUGUAUUACAAAAUCAUUUAUUAGACAUGUUUUGUUCCAUUAAACAUUCCCCCAAAAGUGUGUUUUCUAUAUGAUGCAUCCAUUAGGGUCUCCUGCUAUGUGGGGGAUUUUUGGGGCGACAAGGUAUUAUUUUUGCAGGCCAGGUAGAUGUGUAGAAAACUGAGAACUGACUGACUUCACACAGUUGGAGAAAAUAUGCUAUAUUAAAGCAGUAAGGCUUGUCAAGGAGAUGAAAGAGCCCUGGUUUGUGUGUAUUCAGCCAGUUACAUAGUACAGCAAAAACCUCCAGGCGAACAGUUUCAUUAAAUAUUAAUUUGUGAAGCACUUCAAAGUUUAGGCUGAGGCAUGCUUCUGUAUAAUACAUGAUAUUAUUUAUCAUCUAAAAAAGUUGUUUAGGAUGCAAUUAGGGAAUAAUCCUACAGCUCUCAGCAGUGAUUCAAUGGAAUUCAAGGAGGUCUCACAUCAUUUAACACAGACAAACAUACAGCAGAGGAAGGGCUUGCAAGUCUCUCUCCCUUUUAAUUUGGCAGAUCUGAGGGAAAAAAAAGUUGUGGGCUUUAAAGCAUGGCCUUUGAUUCAUUUGCUUGAACAUUUCAAGCUUAUCAAAGUAGCUUUGCUCACAGUUAGGAGUUGUUUACACUCAUCCAUGGUGCGUGGAAAAAUGGACAAAUAGUAGCCUUCACAGCAACACUAGUUAGAAGGUUUUGCAUAGGAUGGGCAACAGCUCAGCCUUAUUCUCCAGUCCCUUCCUUGCCCCUGAGCUGAAGCUGCUGUUGUUACAUUAAGAGCUUGGAAGCAGCAAAAAGAACAUCUUUCCAAGAAACAGAUGACUGAGCGGGGGCUGUGCCUUCAGGGAAGAUGACAGCAUGGAAGCCAGCAUGAAGCAGAGCACCUGUCCCCGUGCCCCCAGAGCUCCUCCUGCACAAGCUCUGGCUGGGCAGCACAGUCCAGCAAUGCAGGACAGUGCCUACCUGCAAGGCAGCUGGUACCUUGGGAUCAGCAAAGACCAAAACCUGUCUGCACCUACCCUCUGAUUUUAUAGGUAUACCUGUCCCUCAGAACCAGUGAAUCAGCACGAAUAAUAGUGAAACAUUAUUUCAACAGUAAAGACAAAAAGAUGUAAUUGUCUAAAAUAUAUGGGACUAUUCAGGGAAGUUAUGAUUUCACAUAAAAGCUGAAUUCAUGAAAUACACAGGAAAUCAAACCAGCAGGUUCUAUUUUCUUGUCAUUUUUGUGAAGUAUUUUAGAAAGCACUUAAGAGCAUACUCUCUUCUAUAAAGAAUUACUUUACCUUCUACUCACUUACCAAUAUUCAGCUCAGUGCAGCAUGCUAUGCUGUACAGUUGCUUAGUGAAUGUUCAUACAAGAAGUCCUAAAAAGCACUAUAAUAUCAAGAACUGCUUUGUAGGCCUAUUUUCUGUAACAGCUGGAUUGUUGUCCAUGUUCACAAAUUCCCUGCUGUAAAGCAACUAUUUCAGAAUCUCAUCUAGCUCCUUUACCAGAUCCACUACCAGGCCCCACUGAAAGAGGAAAAGAAGAGGAAAUACACAGAAACAUGAAUAAUUUGUUAAUGAGAAGCAGUUACUGUGAAGCGAAGCUCUCACGUUGGUGCAACUGAAGAAUUUUCCACCACACAGAAAGUUCUCAUAUUCUUUGCUAUUGAAAUGAAGCAAACCUCCAUUGCUGACUAUUAAAAAAACAGCUGAGGUAGGAGAGCCCAGCAGCACCACAUCUAACACUGCUCCACAGCCAGCUCCAGCUGAGGUUAGGAGGAGUCUCUGGAGGCGAUUUAGUCCUAGUCAUCCCCAUGGACACAUACUGGUUUUGAAGACUCCACAGCAGCCUCUAGGGGCAACCUGCUCCACUGUCUGACCACCCUCAUAGUAAAAGGUUUUUCUGAUGUUUCAACAUUCUCCUGUAUUUCAAUUUAUGCCCAUUGCCUCUCAUCCUGCCACUAAGCAGCAUCAAGAAGAGCCUGGCUGUGUUUAGACCCCCUUCCAUCAUGCAUUUGUGUAUUGGUAAGAAUCCUCAGCAUCCUCCAAGCAGAGCAGUUCCAGCUCAACCUCUGUAGAACAGAUCCUCUACUUCCUACCAUCACAGCCUUUUGGUGGCCUAGGUUCAUUAAAUCUGUGUCUCCCUUGUACCAAGGAAGCUCAGGUCUGAACACACCACUGCAGAUCUGAGGAAAGGAUCACCA